UGGGGAAUUUUGCACAAUGGGGGAAACCCUGAUGCAGCGACGCCGCGUGAUUUAGAAGACCUUCGGGUUGUAAAAAUCUUUUCUAUGGGAAGAAAAUGACAGUACCAUAGGAAUAAGGACCGGCUAAUUACGUGCCAGCAGCCGCGGUAAUACGUAAGGUCCGAGCGUUGUCCGGAAUCAUUGGGCGUAAAGGGUACGUAGGCGGGUAAGCAAGUUAGAAGUGAAAUCCUAUAGCUCAACUAUAGUAAGCUUUUAAAACUGCUCAUCUUGAGGUAUGGAAGGGAAAGUGGAAUUCCUAGUGUAGCGGUGAAAUGCGCAGAUAUUAGGAGGAAUACCGGUGGCGAAGGCGACUUUCUGGCCAUAACCUGACGCUGAGGUACGAAAGCGUGGGUAGCAAACAGG
RNAcentral lists this ribosomal RNA (402 nucleotides) under bacterium. RNAcentral describes it as "partial 16S ribosomal RNA". It matches the Rfam family "Bacterial small subunit ribosomal RNA", at positions 355 to 776 of the family's 1533-position model. The record is from RNAcentral.